RNAcentral lists this ribosomal RNA (435 nucleotides) under uncultured Flavobacterium sp. RNAcentral describes it as "bacterial SSU rRNA". It matches the Rfam family "Bacterial small subunit ribosomal RNA", at positions 358 to 790 of the family's 1533-position model. Lineage: Bacteria; Pseudomonadati; Bacteroidota; Flavobacteriia; Flavobacteriales; Flavobacteriaceae. The record is from RNAcentral.
GGAAUAUUGGACAAUGGGCGCAAGCCUGAUCCAGCCAUGCCGCGUGCAGGAUGACGGUCCUAUGGAUUGUAAACUGCUUUUGUACAGGAAGAAACACUCCGACGUGUCGGAGCUUGACGGUACUGUAAGAAUAAGGAUCGGCUAACUCCGUGCCAGCAGCCGCGGUAAUACGGAGGAUCCAAGCGUUAUCCGGAAUCAUUGGGUUUAAAGGGUCCGUAGGCGGUUUAAUAAGUCAGUGGUGAAAGCCCAUCGCUCAACGGUGGAACGGCCAUUGAUACUGUUAGACUUGAAUUAUUAGGAAGUAACUAGAAUAUGUAGUGUAGCGGUGAAAUGCUUAGAGAUUACAUGGAAUACCAAUUGCGAAGGCAGGUUACUACUAAUUGAUUGACGCUGAUGGACGAAAGCGUGGGUAGCGAACAGGAUUAGAUACCCCAG